AUAAAAGCUAAAACGUCGAUCCAGAAGACGGUUAAUUUUAUCUUGAGAGAUGGGACUGUAUCAAUUGCGGAGGACGCAAACGAUAUCCAGCUCACUGUCCAAAGAAACCUUCUGUUAUCUACAUAUUCAGUCUUCAGCAUUCACAUCUAAAAAUGGGUUCAAUACUUAGACGGAGAAUUGCUGCAUACCCCCAAAUCAGGAAAUUAUUUCACCAGUAAUUGUUUCAUGGGCGGAUAAAAGGUUGAUACGCCCCAUCCUGAGGGAUACCUUUUUGGAGAAAAUAUGGAUUUGAAUUUCCUAGGCAACAGACCUGUGCAGUCUCCCUAUGUCACCCCUGCACCGCAGGAGCCAGUGAGGACGUUAAGGACAUCAGGAAGGAUUCUUUACGUCUUGUAGGGUAGUUUUGACAUUAUAGUUUGUUGUAAAGGGUUGUCUUAAAGGUUAUUUCAAAGUAGUAUUUGCACUUUAGAAUAUUCUUGUUAACGUCUUGUUUUUGACACUUUAAGAAAAAACUCUGGAUCUAAAUGCUGAUUGUUCAAUACAGUUCACCAAGCUUCUGUUUAUAACACUGCAUUGGGACCAUAGAGACUAGCUAUUUACCUUAGUUUACAUGUCAAGGACAUGUUCUUUUAGUGGACAGAUGGUACUUACUGAAUUUACUUUAAAAUAAUGAUUUAAUGAAAAUGUAAUGAUCUUAAUAUUUUGUAUUAUAUACCUGUAUAUUUAUUAUGCAGACACUCAGCCGUGUGUCAUUCCUGACACUCUUGAGCCAUGCGUGAAUAUAUUUAUAAUAUAGAACGGCCUUUAAUACCUAAUUGCUUAACACUAUGCUGAAAAAAAAGAGAAAUGGGUGGGAUUUUGACAGUCAACUUCAACAGUCUGUUUUGUUUUCAAAACAUCCUCUCAAUUUUCCAGUUACAAGGAUGAUUCUGACAGCACACAAGAGAUCCAAGAGUCCUUUACAGUGUUGAAUUUUGCUUUUGAUACUGAUGCCAGAGUGUCAAUUACACUAUACUGCCAGGCCUUUGAGGAGUUUGCCAAUGGAAUGGCAAUGGCAGAGUAGUCCAUAGGGUAACUUUUCUGCAGUUAAAUGAUAAUGCAUGUUGCUAAAUCAGUGUGUUUUCACCAAUGCCUGUUGUUCACUUUGUGAAUAAAUGAAUUUCUUACAGCAUACCAGAAGAUUAGAAGAUAGAAACUUUGAAGUCUCAGUUGCUUUCAAGAAUCACUUGUGAUGUUUGAGUCCAAAGAAUCAUAACCACAUAACAGCUCUCUUAGCAAUUUAAUUAACCAUGGAGACAGUGGUGCAAUUAUUGCUUGGUCUUCGUGAAUACAAACGAUAAAGCUCUUUUGUGGAUCAUAACUUCAAGUUUCACUCUUUGUCUAUAUGUUUGUGAGAAAUGAUGAAUUGAACAUUACUAUGCAAUGAUAGCUGCACAUAUGCUCAGACAUGUUGGUGAAAACCACAAAAAAAAUAUUUUUUUAAAGAUACAGCCCCAAGAACCCUUCAGUGGUUUCUGAGAUGGUCCAAUAUAUGAGAGGGAUGAAUCAACAAUUUUCUCUGCCAUCAUUCAAGAUUGAUUUUGACAAAUGGAAGCCUGAAGAGAUAUCACAGGGCAUGCACAUGUUCUCUUGGCAGCCUUUGAAAGGG
Long non-coding RNA from Xyrauchen texanus (razorback sucker), 1648 nucleotides. RefSeq lists it as uncharacterized. Lineage: Eukaryota; Metazoa; Chordata; Actinopteri; Cypriniformes; Catostomidae. The record is from RefSeq and is a predicted model, not a curated record. The transcript is spliced from 4 exons.